CUGAGGGAAAGUUGAAAAGUACUUUGAAGAGAGAGUAAACAGUACGUGAAACCGCAUAGAGGUAAACGGGUGGCGUCAAGCUGCACGCUUGGAGGAUUCAGUCGGUCAGGAUGUUGUGUGUGCGCCUGGCGCAUCUAUCAGUCAGAGUGAGUACAGGUGGUCCGCUGGGUGACGGCGGGCCCGGCCGCAAGGCUGGGAUUGGCGUUCCGUGUUGUGUGCGGAGCUUGCCACCUGUCUGAGGACUGCCUGGCCGAUGCACUUUCUCCGUGGCGAACACCACGACCGGUGGUACUGCCAGUCUGCUGUGGUAAAGUCAGGUUGAGUUGGCAUUCACGUGUCGACUGGGCCUGAUCAUAGGCGAGCGGUCUGCGGGUGCGUCUCGUGCGUGCCUGUAGACCGAUUUGUCAACGGGUCUGUUUGCUGAUGAUUGUAGUAGUCGGUAGAUGGCCUGGUGAACCAUGGUGCUAACAAUAACUGUGCAGACCACCGGUGAUAUCCGUCUCGAAUUUGGCUCGCGCACACACUACAUGUGGUUGUGUCCGCCGCGUUGUUGCGGACUGCCUGUGAUCGCUCUUACUUAUCGAGUCGCCCGGCGCACACGCGCCCCCUGACCGACUGAUCCCUCAUGGCGCUCAUCUCGACGCCUCCCGUGCACCUCUAUGUGGUUUCACGUACUGUUUACUCUCUCUUAAACGUACCUAUCAAAUUUCCCUCAAAACACUUGGACAG
This 729-nucleotide ribosomal RNA is filed under the name Senga sp. 07-IND. RNAcentral's name for it is "partial large subunit ribosomal RNA". Lineage: Eukaryota; Metazoa; Platyhelminthes; Cestoda; Bothriocephalidea; Bothriocephalidae. The record is from RNAcentral.